RNAcentral lists this ribosomal RNA (57 nucleotides) under Nocardiopsis sp. L17-MgMaSL7. Lineage: Bacteria; Bacillati; Actinomycetota; Actinomycetes; Streptosporangiales; Nocardiopsidaceae. The record is from RNAcentral.
UCCUUGCGCUGAUGGUACUGCCCUGUUGUGGGGUGGGAGAGUAGGUCGCUGCCACGG